RNAcentral lists this ribosomal RNA (426 nucleotides) under uncultured Pseudomonas sp. RNAcentral's name for it is "bacterial SSU rRNA". It matches the Rfam family "Bacterial small subunit ribosomal RNA", at positions 356 to 774 of the family's 1533-position model. Lineage: Bacteria; Pseudomonadati; Pseudomonadota; Gammaproteobacteria; Pseudomonadales; Pseudomonadaceae. The record is from RNAcentral.
GGGGAAUAUUGGACAAUGGGCGAAAGCCUGAUCCAGCCUUGCCGCGUGUGUGAAGAAGGUCUUCGGAUUGUAAAGCACUUUAAGUUGGGAGGAAGAGCAGUUACCUAAUACGUGAUUGUUUUGACGUUACCGACAGAAUAAGCACCGGCUAACUCUGUGCCAGCAGCCGCGGUAAUACAGAGGGUGCAAGCGUUAAUCGGAAUUACUGGGCGUAAAGCGCGCGUAGGUGGUUCGUUAAGUUGGAUGUGAAAGCCCCGGGCUCAACCUGGGAACUGCAUCCAAAACUGGCGAGCUAGAGUACGGUAGAGGGUGGUGGAAUUUCCUGUGUAGCGGUGAAAUGCGUAGAUAUAGGAAGGAACACCAGUGGCGAAGGCGACCACCUGGACCAACACUGACACUGAGGCACGAAAGCGUGGGGAGCAAACA